UCCCAGUUCUGAUGUCUUCAAAGAGCACAAUGUAUUUUAAAAUAGAUAAAAGCUGCAUAAAAUACGUUUGUGGCUCUUCAAAUUCACUCAGGCAUUGAUUUGUAUUUUUAUAAAUACAAAUAGGACCAGCUAGAUACAUUUGAUAGAUGAGACUUAUUUCACAACAACCUUUUGUCAGAUAUUUUAUUGGCCUUUCAUACAAACAGUAGUGCACGCAUCAGGCAGCUGCAGUUGGAGACAGGAUGGACUUUUGAACCAAAAGGAGCAGAGGACUGAAUUUCAGAGGUGACAUCCACAGGAUGUUCUGCUGAGAGCUCUUCACGGACACGACUUCUCCGGAUGAGACUCAUGGGAUAAAGUAUUCAAGAAAUUGAACAUAGGACUGGUCAUAGGAGGUUUCCUCCCUUUCAGGGAAUAGCUCCACGACUCUGAACUCUGCAGGGAGGAAGUGCAGAGUUUAAAACAGAAGACAUGGCUGUUCUGACUAUUCUUGCUGUGUCCUCAGGGAAAGAAGUACAAGGAGAACAGGACUGCACUGAAAAAAAGAAGAUAGAACAAAGCCAUGAUUUCCUUCAGUUGCCGCACAUCUACAGGGAAGAGUAAUUUGUGGAAACAUGGAGA
Molecule: long non-coding RNA, 621 nt
Organism: Struthio camelus australis
Lineage: Eukaryota; Metazoa; Chordata; Aves; Struthioniformes; Struthionidae
Source: RefSeq, a predicted model, not a curated record